AACGAACGCUGGCGGCAUGCCUAACACAUGCAAGUCGAACGAAGGCUUCGGCCUUAGUGGCGCACGGGUGCGUAACGCGUGGGAAUCUGCCCAAGGGUACGGAAUAACAUCCCGAAAGGGGUGCUAAUACCGUAUGAAGUCGCGAGACCACAGAUUUAUGGCCUUUGGAUGAGCCCGCGUUGGUUUAGCUAGUUGGUGGGGUAAAGGCCUACCAAGGCGACGAUCCAUAGCUGGUCUGAGAGGAUGAUCAGCCACACUGGGACUGAGACACGGCCCAGACACCGACGAGAGGCAGCAGUGGGGAAUAUUGGACAAUGGGCGAAAGCCUGAUCCAGCAAUGCCGCGUGAGUGAUGAAGGCCUUAGGGUUGUAAAGCUCUUUUACCCGGGAAGAUAAUGACUGUACCGGGAGAAUAAGCCCCGGCUAACUCCGUGCCAGCCGCCGCCGUAA
Molecule: ribosomal RNA, 449 nt
Filed under: uncultured bacterium
Lineage: Bacteria
Description: partial 16S ribosomal RNA
Rfam family: Bacterial small subunit ribosomal RNA
Source: RNAcentral